Stegodyphus dumicola is the source of this 4606-nucleotide unclassified non-coding RNA. NCBI's taxonomy places the organism in Eukaryota, Metazoa, Arthropoda, Arachnida, Araneae, Eresidae. The record is from RefSeq and is a predicted model, not a curated record.
AAUACCUGAAGCAAAAAAGCUGGCUGUGUCUGAGGAGAGUAAAGGUAUUGUUCAGCAGUUAUCAACCAUGCAGACCCAGAGGGCUGUAAGUGGAAUUGCAAAUGCAAUUACUGUUGAAGAAUGGAAAGUUCCAGAUAAAAUGGUGGGGUUAAUUAUUGGUCGAGGGGGUGAACAGAUAACAAGAUUACAGGCAGAAUCAGGUUGUAAAGUACAGAUGGCUGCAGAUAGUGGUGGUUUACCUGAAAGAAUUUGCACUCUUACAGGUUCCAGACAAUCUAUAGAAAAAGCUAAAGAACUUAUAACAGCAAUAAUAAAUCGUGGAGGUCCUCCUUUACCUGUUUUAGACACUAAUCAUGUACCAGAUGGCCAUACGAUAGUUGAAAUGAUGAUCCCUGGUCCUAAAGUUGGUCUUGUCAUUGGAAAGGGUGGAGAAACUAUUCGUAAUCUUCAGGAAAGAGCUGCUGUAAAAAUGGUUCUUAUACAAGAUGGUCCUCAGCAAACAUCACAAGAAAAACCACUGAGGAUAACUGGAGAACCUGAUAAAUGUGAAUAUGCAAAACAGUUGGUCAUGGAUCUGAUCACAGAAAAGGAACUUGAAAGUAUACAAAGAGGGGGAUUUGAUGGAACUAAUGAAUACGGAAGUGCUGCAGGUGGUCAGAGAGGUGGAUCUGGCUCAACACAUGAGAUAAUGGUUCCUAAGCAAGCAGUUGGUGUAGUAAUUGGUAAAGGUGGUGAUAUGAUAAAGAAAAUACAGCAAGAUUCUGGAGCUAGAGUUCAGUUUUUAAAUGUGAAAGACGAAGGUCCAGAUGAUAAAGUGUGUGUUGUCACCGGAACUCCGGAGCAAAUACAAGCGGCCAGCACUUUCAUAAAUGAUCUCAUCCAAAGUGUACUGGUGCGUGAUCAACAGAAUGUUGGGCGAGGUCGUGCGAGAGGCAGACCAGCUGAUGGUAGUGGCCCAAACUUUGGUAAUAAUCCAAGAUCAAGGCCUGAUGUUCCAGAAAUUCAUUAUGCGGUUCCUGCUAAUAAAUGUGGUCUUGUUAUUGGGAAAGGUGGAGAAACAGUAAAAAAUAUUAAUCAGGUAUCAGGAGCAUAUGUUACACUUUCUGCCUUACCUCCUCCCAAUGCACAAGAAAAAGUAUUUGUUAUUCGGGGACAACCUCCUCAGAUUGAACAUGCAAAAGAACUCAUUAAUGAAAGAAUUGGAGGAGUUGGAACAGUAAUUCAAUCUCAAAAUCCUCAGAAUCAGCAAAAUUUUCCUCCUCAGUUUCCACAACAGCAACAGUAUCAGCAAGCACCAUCACAAGCUCAACCAUAUGCACCACAAGGAUGGGCAAAUGCAUAUCAACCAUGGCAAGGUCAAACCGCUCCUGCAGCAGAUCCAAAUGCUGCUGCUUGGGCUGCUUAUUACAGUCAAUAUUAUGGUCAACAGCAAGCUCACCAAAUGCAACCUUCUGCUGCUCAGCCUACAAUGCAGCCUGGUGUUGCCCCACAACCUGGUAUGCCCUCCCAGCCUGAUCAGAAUCAAGCGGCUUCUCAGCAGCCUCCUGCAGCUACACCUGCUGCUGCUAUUCCUGCUGCAGCAGCUCCUGUAGGUUCAGCUGUAGCACCUCAGCCAGAUUACAGUGCUGCCUGGGCUGAAUAUUAUAGGUCUUUAGGUAUGUUUCGAGAAGCAGAAAUGAUAGAGAAUCAAGCAAGGACGACAGCACAGCUGGCUGCCACUGUCAUGGCACCUCAGCAGCCAGGACAGACAUUUCCUCAAGCCCAACCAACUACAACUGCUCCAGUCCAAGCUGGAGCUCCAGCUGCUGCACCUCAGCCUACCCCUCAGCCAGCUGCUCCACCUACUCAACCACCACCAGCAUCUGUACCUCCAGCAGUACCACCUGUCCAACAGGCUCCUGCUGGUGCCCAGGCACCUCCUGCACCAACUGGUGUGCCUGCUCCUGGUCAUCCUCAACCUUUCCCUCCAGGUGCACCUCAAGGCCAGUGGCCUGCACCUGGACCAUUUGGUCAACCUUUUGGCCAACAACAACCAAACGCAUUUGUUGGUUACAAUUACCCAAGCUAUGGACAACAACCUUUCACAGCUGCUGCGCCUCAAUAAUAAAUGAUCUAUAACAUUUGGUGGCAUUGAUUAGGCAUCUCAAAAUUAAAGCUCCGUUCUGCUAGCCCCUAAUGCUUGGCGUUCCAGAGCAUUCUGGGAGCCAAUGUAAACAUUGAGGUAAGCUGUGAAUACCUUGCUGAUAUAGUUUCAUUAUGUCAUCUGGUGCUGUCCUAUGAAUAUGAAGUUUUAUCCAUUUGUCAUGUUGUGCUCAGAGUGAUUAUGCUUUUGGAAAGUAAACUGGGAUGCUAUAAUAGUUAUGACAUCUGACUGUAGUGUGAAAUUCAUGUUCUGUAAUUUUAUUCGUUUUAAUGUUCUUUUCAUCUACCAGGAUAUUAAGAAAAUGACAUCGUAAUUAACCAGACAUUCCCCAGAAUACUUUGCAUUUUUGUUUUACUUUGUUUGAUUUUAGAUUAUUAGCUGCAAGUCUCAAGCUCUAAAUAGGCUUCUGCAGAUCCCUGGUUCAAUAAUGGUAUAAUUUGAAAUGAUUCUAGUUUAAUUUUUAAUUAUGUAUUUGAAAUGCAUAAUGUACAUAAGUUUCAGUUUUUGUUUAACUUCAUAAUUUUUAAAGAUAGUGUAUGAUGUGUAGUUCAUAAUUGUAAAAUAAAAUUCAUUCCAUAUUUGUGUGAUAUUUUUUGAUGCUGUGUAGUUGAAAUAUGUGAAAACACAUGACUUUCGCUAAAAGACAUUUUCCAUGACAGUAAGCUAUAAUUUUAAUGCACUUACAAAAUAAUUUUUGUAGCGAAAUAUACUCAAUUUCACUAACAAAGUAUGUGUUUUGUUUUACAGUAAAAAAGCGUGGUUUAUAUAUGUUCAUAUACUAAUUUAAACUUGCUAUAUGCAUUCAAUGAAACAUUAAAUUCGGUCAGUGGAUGUAUAAGCAAGUGAACUUUUAGUUCUUCAUAAUAUUUUUGCUUAUAUAGCCAUAGAAGUUUUUAAAGGUUAAUUAACAAAUAAACUUCUCAGCCUUUUGCUUAAAUGUUUUUAUGCACUUUUACAUAAAUUAUUUAUUAUAAACUGGAAAGUAAAUUUUGAAAAUAUAUUUUUUGAAAUUUUUUAACUGUCUGUAAACAAAGGUAAGUAUUGGGAUUUUAUUUUAAGAAGUAAGCAUUUUUGCCAAGUACUAAUGAAAUCUGCAAUUACAUGUCUUCUUUUUAGUUGUGCAGGUUAUUUUUUAGCAAAAUAUGCUGUUUUGUGAUGUAUCUAGUUUUGGAAAUCAGUAUAGCAUUUUUGUAAUAUAUUAUGAAUUUGCUUUUUGCUUUUCGAAGUGUGCAUGUUAUUUGAUAUAAAAAUAUAAUUAAGUUUUUAUCUUAGUUUUAGAAUCCCUGCAUUCAAGAAGUUUUUAAUUCAUUUAGUCUUCCUUCUCAAAUAUUUCCUUCAUUUUAUAUUAUUUCUUACAAAAUUCCAUAACUGCAUUUAUUUUCUGUUGUCUGUUUUACUUAAUACUUAAGUAUUUCAUAUGGUAUUUAAUUAUGAUGGGUGAAUGCAUUUAUAUUAAUAAUUAAAAGUUGUAUGUUUCUUUUCUAUAUACUUAAUGAGCUAGUAUAUGAAAAAUGUUUUGUUUUACUUAAAUUGGUUUCAGAUGUUACUUUUUCCCUUCAAUAUCCUCCUCUUUUAUUAAAAUUUGCCAAUGUUAAAGUUUUCCCUUUUGAAAAAUGGUAUCUUGGGGGAUAUUUAAGAGAUUGUGUAUGUACAUCGUAAUUGAAUUUCUUUCAGCUUCUAACAUUUCUUUCAGGAUUCAUUUCAAAUUCAGCUCACAAAAUUGCUGAAGUAUAGUUGCAUAUUUAUAUGUAGACACCAGUCUUUUGUUUAAAUUAUUUACUAUAAUUUAUUUGUGUUUGAACAUUAGUAUCCCCACUUUCAUAUUACAAUUAUUAAUUUGUACAAGAGAGCUAUAUAAUUUUUUUUUAUAUUUUAGUAUACAAUUUUGAAUUUUGAGUGUUUGUUGUCAUCUAAUGUAAUUAAAUUGCCGAAAAUAUAUUUUUUUUGGGGGGGGUUAUUUUUGUAAGCAUUAGUGAGAAAUAAUUAAGCAAUUACUGAUUGGAUAAUUUUGAUUGAAUUCCGUAAUAUUGUAUUGAGACAAACACAUACACGUUAGUGACUUUAAGUAUGCUGUAGAAAGAAAUUUAAAUAUGCUAAUAAAAAGGAUAGAAAUUUUUACUUUUUUUACUUAUGUAAAAAUGAGAGAAAUUUUAUUUGGUUUAUUAAUUAAAUUUUAUGCAUUUUUUACUAAGUUGGCAUUCUUCGAGUGGUUUGCAGAGGAUUAAUCAUUUUUGUAGAACAGGCUACAGGUGUGACAGUUCUGAAGUCCAAACCUUAGAAUGCAAAACGGAUCAGGUUCAUUAUAAUUAUUCUACCAUAAUUUUAUACUUCUUAAGAUUGCCAAAUGUGUAUGUGAUAGGAAAAUUCAUUUAAUAAUGCAGUUUUUAAAAUCUUAUUUCUGAUCUGAUGUAUAUAAUGCUUGUAAACUUUAGACGUAUUAAAUAAAAAAAAUACUAAAAUUCU